GAUGAACGCUAGCUACAGGCUUAACACAUGCAAGUCGAGGGGAAACGAUGAGAGAGCUUGCUCUCUUAGUCGUCGACCGGCGCACGGGUGAGUAACGCGUAUCCAACCUGCCUCUGACCAAGGGAUAACCCGUCGAAAGUCGGACUAAUACCUUAUGCAGUCGUCGGAAGUCAUCUGAUGACGACGAAAGAUUUCAUCGGUGAGAGAUGGGGAUGCGUCUGAUUAGCUUGUUGGCGGGGUAACGGCCCACCAAGGCGACGAUCAGUAGGGGUUCUGAGAGGAAGGUCCCCCACAUUGGAACUGGGACACGGUCCAAACUCCUACGGGAGGCAGCAGUGAGGAAUAUUGGUCAGUGGGCGUAAGCCUGAACCAGCCAAGUAGCGUGCAGGAUGACGGCCCUAUGGGUUGUAAACUGCUUUUAUGCGGGGAUAAAGUGAGGGACGUGUCCUUCAUUGCAGGUACCGCAUGAAUAAGGACCGGCUAAUUCCGUG
This 491-nucleotide ribosomal RNA is filed under the name uncultured bacterium. RNAcentral describes it as "partial 16S ribosomal RNA". It matches the Rfam family "Bacterial small subunit ribosomal RNA", at positions 28 to 507 of the family's 1533-position model. The record is from RNAcentral.